RNAcentral lists this long non-coding RNA (273 nucleotides) under Pan troglodytes (chimpanzee). RNAcentral describes it as "long non-coding RNA NONPTRT002657". Lineage: Eukaryota; Metazoa; Chordata; Mammalia; Primates; Hominidae. The record is from RNAcentral.
GGGGAAGGCUGAGACAUGUCUGGCUCCAGUCAAUUAACGACCUCAUCUCCACUGACUUAUUUGUCUGAAACAUGUUCAAAAAGUAAAGCAAAUAGAAAAGAGGAGAAGUCUUGGAGGAAGAAGGAAAGCAGACACAGGAUAUUUAUUAGGAUAAAUGUUUAAAGAUAACGCCACUGAGGAAGAGGCAGGCUAAAGCUUGCUCCAUGCCAAGCAAUCUGGGUAGCAGACUGGGAUUGGAUCCCAGUAUUGUAUAAAGAAGAAGCAUUAAAAGCU